AAAAGUGCUCACAAGUGCAGGUAG
This 24-nucleotide microRNA is filed under the name Scyliorhinus torazame (cloudy catshark). RNAcentral describes it as "Sto-Mir-17-P1c_5p (mature (guide))". The record is from RNAcentral. Lineage: Eukaryota; Metazoa; Chordata; Chondrichthyes; Carcharhiniformes; Scyliorhinidae.